RNAcentral lists this ribosomal RNA (253 nucleotides) under uncultured bacterium. RNAcentral describes it as "partial 16S ribosomal RNA". It matches the Rfam family "Bacterial small subunit ribosomal RNA", at positions 524 to 776 of the family's 1533-position model. The record is from RNAcentral.
UACGUAGGGGGCAAGCGUUGUCCGGAAUCAUUGGGCGUAAAGAGCGUGUAGGCGGUCCGGUCAGUCGGUUGUGAAAGUCAAGGGCUCAACCCUUGAAUGCCGGCCGAUACUGCCGGACUAGAGUACGGAAGAGGCGAGUGGAAUUCCUGGUGUAGCGGUGAAAUGCGCAGAUAUCAGGAGGAACACCAAUUGCGAAGGCAGCUCGCUGGGACGUUACUGACGCUGAGACGCGAAAGCGUGGGGAGCAAACAGG